UAGGGAAUCUUCGGCAAUGGGGGCAACCCUGACCGAGCAACGCCGCGUGAGUGAAGAAGGUUUUCGGAUCGUAAAGCUCUGUCGUUAGAGAAGAACACGAGUGAGAGUAACUGUUCAUUCGAUGACGGUAUCUAACCAGCAAGUCACGGCUAACUACGUGUCAG
This 164-nucleotide ribosomal RNA is filed under the name uncultured bacterium. Its description in RNAcentral is "partial 16S rRNA". It matches the Rfam family "Bacterial small subunit ribosomal RNA", at positions 355 to 511 of the family's 1533-position model. The record is from RNAcentral.